Molecule: ribosomal RNA, 253 nt
Filed under: uncultured bacterium
Lineage: Bacteria
Description: partial 16S ribosomal RNA
Rfam family: Bacterial small subunit ribosomal RNA
Source: RNAcentral
UACAGAGGGUGCGAGCGUUGUUCGGAAUUAUUGGGCGUAAAGGGCGCGUAGGCGGUGCGGUAAGUCACCUGUGAAAUCUCCUGGCUCAACUGGGAGCUUGCAGGCGAAACUGCCGUGCUGGAGUGUGGGAGAGGUGCGUGGAAUUCCUGGUGUAGCGGUGAAAUGCGUAGAUAUCAGGAGGAACACCGGUGGCGAAGGCGGCUUUCUGGACACUUACUGACGCUGAGACGCGAAAGCGUGGGGAGCAAACAGG